CCAAACAUUUUGUUUUUGGAUCUUUGCACUUAAUAACAGAGAAAAAAAAAUCUUCCUCCCGAUCUUCACUUGACAAUCACAUCCUCCCUGCAGGCAAACUCCUGCUCUGUCUAUCGCCUUUAAAAAGAGAAGAAACACUUUUGACGCUCCAGACACGACUAAUCAAUGCACACUCUUGACCAGCCAACCUGCAGGUCGUGACCUUGUGGGAUUUGAAUUGUCUCCAGAAACCCGCAAAGGCCAAGGGGGUAGAGAUUAGCGACGAGGGUGUGGCGAGGUUUGUUUGUGAGCAGAGGGAAGGCUCGUGAUCAUAUUCACUAUGAGAAGGGCAUGUAAAUGUGAUUGCUGACGACCACGCAGCAAAAGCAUGGCCCCAUUGUGUUGUGACCCUUUCGAGUAAAUAGGAGUGACCUUGUUUGCCUCUGCUGCUACGGGACAUAACUAUGUUAAAUACAGUAUGAGAGGUUAACACACAGGAUGAGUGGAAGCUUUUCUUCAUUGAUGGAGGGCAGGGUGUCGCCCACAGCUGCUGUGGCCUCGUGACCUGCUGAGGGGCAUUUCAUUAUAUAUUUAUUUACACAUUUACUGAGCUGAAACUAAUCCAUAAUGUAAGCUCCUUAUCUAUAGUACAAUUUUGACCAAAAAAAAAAAAGGUAAAACCUGAGCAGAUUAUUCACAGUUUGUCCCGCAACCCAAACCCUGUUUAUUAUCCCUCACAAAUAUAGAAGUCCCUCAUUAUUAUUAUUUUUAUUUUUUUCUAUCUAUCCAUUUUCAGUUCAGGUCAGCCAAUUUAUCACAGUACACAUGUGGAAAGGACAAACUGAUAUUUGGACCAUCACUUGGUGGGAAUUGAACCCUUGCAGCCUGCAUAAAAGAUGCAUAAAAGAUAGAAUACAUUUUAGAAGAAUGAAACAUGAAAAACAGAUGUGUGUGUUAUAUAAGUACAAAGAUGUAAAAAUAUAAGUCAUGUCAUAUGAGGUCGCCUUACA
Long non-coding RNA from Syngnathus typhle (broad-nosed pipefish), 989 nucleotides. RefSeq lists it as uncharacterized. The record is from RefSeq and is a predicted model, not a curated record. NCBI's taxonomy places the organism in Eukaryota, Metazoa, Chordata, Actinopteri, Syngnathiformes, Syngnathidae. The transcript has 2 exons.